GAGCUGCAAGGCCGGUGGUGCAGCCGGGCUGGGCUGGGCGCGUCUGCCCUCUCCCAUUCGGCGGGACCUGGGCUCCGUGCGGGGUGGUCUGUGAGGGGUACGGGGCUUCUGUGCUGCGCCCUGCCGUUCCCGCGCGGCUCCCGCCGGCUCGCCGCUGCCUCCUUCCCUCCCAGGCGCGCACGAGCGCGCCGUGGCUGCUCCCUGCUGGCACCACCACAAGCUCGCGGCGGACCGGCAGCUGGGAGGCACGGCCCCUUCCCGCCACUGCCAGCAGGGGGCACUGCUGUCCCUGUGGCAAAAGUUUGGCCCCCGCAGCCCCUGCCCCGCGGCCGGGCCCUCGGCUCCAGCUCCGCCAGGCGCAGGGCCCCCCCGCGGAAUCUGGGCUUGGUGCAGCUGCCGGAACGCAGCCCUGUCCAGCCAGGAGGGGGCAGGCUGACUCGCUCGGCUUUGCCCGGAGGUCUGGCCUGUGUGGUUGCAAGGCUGUGGGCUGCUGAACAAAGGGUAGAGCUGCCUUCGGGGGUCACGGUCGCCAAGAGCCUCCCAGGGCGGAAAACGGCUUCCCAAGGGUCUCUAAUUAGGGGUUUCUGCCCGCCAUCCCCCCAACUACCCAUGUCUCCUGCCCCAUCUCCCCCACCCCCCACCGCCACCGCCUCCUACUCUGCUCUCCCUACCCCACCUCCCUACCCCUCCCCAUCUCUCCCCAACUUCAUCUCCCCCAACUUCCAGUCUCCCCCAUCUCCUCCGUGCCCCCCAUCUCCCCACCUCCACCACCAUACCUCUUUUCCCCUCCCCUUCUCUCGGGAAGCCCAUCUCCCCGAACAUCCAGUCUCCCCCCGCCCCGGCUCUCCCAUUUCCGCCCCCAUCUCCCCCAACAUCCAGCCUCCCCCCGCCCCGGCGCUCCCAUUACCGCCCCCAUCUCCCCCCCUCGCCACCCCCGGCCGCCUGCGCUGGCCUUUAGGGACCGCGCGGCCGUGUCGUUGCCGGGGAACGGGCGUCCGCCCCCGCGGCUCCUCAGAACGCGGGCGUCACCAGUGCGCUUUCUACCCUGCGGCCGCGCCUCCCCCGCGCAUGAGGGAAGCGGUGUUCGCAGUGCCCCAGCCGGCGCGCAAGCUGCUGGGCACAGGCCGUCCCCGGGCCGGGAACAAAUCGCCGUGCGGUGCGCUCCCGCGCUCCCAAGCUGCGGGGCAAACUCAGGAGGGGGAGCGUUAG
Molecule: long non-coding RNA, 1209 nt
Filed under: Oryctolagus cuniculus (rabbit)
Lineage: Eukaryota; Metazoa; Chordata; Mammalia; Lagomorpha; Leporidae
Description: lncRNA (ENSOCUG00000029353.2)
Source: RNAcentral